UUUUUUUUAAACUGGUUUGGGAAAACCAAAUAUAUUAUAUAUUUUGCUUUGUUCAAAAUAAGGUUUUCUAAUAAAUUAUGUUUUUAUCAGAUAUGACAGAAUCUUUUUUAAAAUCUCUUCAAUAUGCUUUUAUUGCUUUUGAGAGGUUUUGUUACUUUGAGUAAAAUUAAGUGUUCAUAACAGACGGGUAGUCAUGAUUGAGUUCAUUGUGUA
RNAcentral lists this ribosomal RNA (213 nucleotides) under Plasmodium falciparum (malaria parasite P. falciparum). RNAcentral describes it as "partial 18S ribosomal RNA". The record is from RNAcentral. Lineage: Eukaryota; Apicomplexa; Aconoidasida; Haemosporida; Plasmodiidae.